Molecule: ribosomal RNA, 911 nt
Filed under: uncultured bacterium
Lineage: Bacteria
Description: bacterial SSU rRNA
Rfam family: Bacterial small subunit ribosomal RNA
Source: RNAcentral
UGCAAGUCGAGCGGUAGCAGGUCCUUCGGGAUGCUGACGAGCGGCGGACGGGUGAGUAAUGCAUAGGAAUCUGCCCGGUAGUGGGGGAUAACCUGGGGAAACCCAGGCUAAUACCGCAUACGUCCUACGGGAGAAAGGGGGCUUUGGCUCCCGCUAUUGGAUGAGCCUAUGUCGGAUUAGCUAGUUGGUGAGGUAAUGGCUCACCAAGGCAACGAUCCGUAGCUGGUCUGAGAGGAUGAUCAGCCACAUCGGGACUGAGACACGGCCCGAACUCCUACGGGAGGCAGCAGUGGGGAAUAUUGGACAAUGGGGGCAACCCUGAUCCAGCCAUGCCGCGUGUGUGAAGAAGGCCUUCGGGUUGUAAAGCACUUUCAGCGAGGAAGAACGCCUGGCGGUUAAUACCCGGUAGGAAAGACAUCACUCGCAGAAGAAGCACCGGCUAACUCCGUGCCAGCAGCCGCGGUAAUACGGAGGGUGCAAGCGUUAAUCGGAAUUACUGGGCGUAAAGCGCGCGUAGGUGGCUUGAUAAGCCGGUUGUGAAAGCCCCGGGCUCAACCUGGGAACGGCAUCCGGAACUGUCAGGCUAGAGUGCAGGAGAGGAAGGUAGAAUUCCCGGUGUAGCGGUGAAAUGCGUAGAGAUCGGGAGGAAUACCAGUGGCGAAGGCGGCCUUCUGGACUGACACUGACACUGAGGUGCGAAAGCGUGGGUAGCAAACAGGAUUAGAUACCCUGGUAGUCCACGCCGUAAACGAUGUCGACCAGCCGUUGGGUGCCUAGCGCACUUUGUGGCGAAGUUAACGCGAUAAGUCGACCGCCUGGGGAGUACGGCCGCAAGGUUAAAACUCAAAUGAAUUGACGGGGGCCCGCACAAGCGGUGGAGCAUGUGGUUUAAUUCGAUGCAACGCGAAGAA